AACGUAGGACGCAAGCGUUAUCCGGAGUUACUGGGCGUAAAGCGCGGGCAGGCGGCUCGAUGCGUCUGAUGUGAAAUCUCCUCGCUCAACGGGGAGAGGCCAUUGGAAACGGUCGAGCUGGAGGGCAGUAGAGGCAGGCGGAAUUCCGGGUGGAGUGGUGAAAUGCGUAGAGGUCCGGAGGAACACCAGAGGCGAAGGCGGCCUGCUGGGCUGCACCUGACGCUGAGCCGCGAAAGCCAGGGGAGCGAACGGG
RNAcentral lists this ribosomal RNA (253 nucleotides) under uncultured bacterium. RNAcentral describes it as "partial 16S ribosomal RNA". It matches the Rfam family "Bacterial small subunit ribosomal RNA", at positions 524 to 776 of the family's 1533-position model. The record is from RNAcentral.